GCCCUGCUGGCUCAGUCAGUGGAGCAUGGGACUUUUGAUCUCAGGGCCCUGAGUUCAAGUCCCAUGCUGGGCA
RNAcentral lists this transfer RNA (73 nucleotides) under Mustela putorius furo (domestic ferret). It matches the Rfam family "tRNA". From Rfam's summary of the family: Transfer RNA (tRNA) molecules are approximately 80 nucleotides in length. Their secondary structure includes four short double-helical elements and three loops (D, anti-codon, and T loops). Lineage: Eukaryota; Metazoa; Chordata; Mammalia; Carnivora; Mustelidae. The record is from Rfam by way of RNAcentral.